RNAcentral lists this ribosomal RNA (465 nucleotides) under uncultured bacterium. RNAcentral's name for it is "partial 16S ribosomal RNA". It matches the Rfam family "Bacterial small subunit ribosomal RNA", at positions 28 to 507 of the family's 1533-position model. The record is from RNAcentral.
GACGAACGCUGGCGGCGUGCUUAACACAUGCAAGUCGAACGGAAAGGCCCCCUUGUGGGGUACUCGAGUGGCGAACGGGUGAGUAACACGUGAGUAACCUACCCUUGACUUUGGGAUAACUUCAGGAAACUGGGGCUAAUACCGGAUAGGAGCUCCUGCUGCAUGGGGGGGGUUGGAAAGUUUCGGCGGUUGGGGAUGGACUCGCGGCUUAUCAGCUUGUUGGUGGGGUAGUGGCUCACCAAGGCUUUGAGGGGUAGCCGGCCUGAGAGGGUGACCGGCCACAUUGGGACUGAGAUACGGCCCAGACUCCUACGGGAGGCAGCAGUGGGGAAUAUUGCACAAUGGGCGGAAGCCUGAUGCAGCAACGCCGCGUGCGGGAUGACGGCCUUCGGGUUGUAAACCGCUUUCGCCUGUGACGAAGCGUGAGUGACGGUAAUGGGUAAAGAAGCACCGGCUAACUACGUG